RNA transcript from Panicum virgatum (switchgrass), 2213 nucleotides. It is a transcript of the gene named membrane-bound transcription factor site-2 protease homolog, with no coding region annotated. The transcript has 8 exons. The record is from RefSeq and is a predicted model, not a curated record. Lineage: Eukaryota; Viridiplantae; Streptophyta; Magnoliopsida; Poales; Poaceae.
GGCGACGCAUCUCUCCGGCUCGCCCUGCUGCUCGAAUGAUCGGCGGCGCAGGCCGCGGCAGGCGGCGGGCGCGCCCGCCGGCGUCCCUGCCCACGAGCACCUCCGCCCGCCGCACCGAGCACUCCGUCUCCUGCUGGUAUUGUGACUGCAAGAUAUAUGGCUUCAAUGACACCCUGUUCAGUUUGGGGUCGAAGUAUGCUAGAUUCAUGAGAGGAUGGUUUUCCAUAGGCGUUUGUUUCUCUCUCAUUGCUUUAGUCGAUGCUACUUUGGGAGUCAAUUGGUGUGUUUUAUCUCCGGAGUGGAUGUCUUAGUGCCUGGUUAAAGAACCUACUGAUUUCAGGGCACAGCAUAUCUAUUAUGGAUACCACAAUCAUCAUAAUGUCAACAAUCUUGUCUAUUGCUUUUCAUGAAUUCGGACAUGCCAUUGCUGCUGCAAGGUCUUUAUGUCUUGCCUUCUCGUUUCUUUUUUUUCUGUUAGAUGUGUUGCGUCUUUUCGUUGUGCUCAUUUGAUACUCAGAGCAUCUGUAUUAUGUUUUACUUUGCCUGUUAAUGAAUAAUUUUCCUGCCACGUUCACAUUCUUUUCUACAUGUGCAACAGUGAGGGAGUAGAGAUUGAGUAUGUUGCCAUAUUUGUCGCUGUACUUUUUCCUGGAGCAUUUGUUGCUCUGAACUAUGACCUACUGCAGAAUCGACCUCUCUUUUCCAUGCUCCGGAUUUAUUGUGCAGGAAUUUGGCAUAAUGUUAUGUAUGUGUGCUGAUGACAUCAUUACUCCCGGUGGUGUUGUAUCCUCUUUAUGUGAGUGGUGAUGGCCUUAUGGUCUCAGGAAUCCCACGAACAUCACCUCUGUCAGAAUACUUGUCUGCUCAUGAUGUUAUCCUCUCUGUGGAUGGUAUGAAAAUAACAAGAACUGAUGAGUGGAUCAAGAUUCUGAACCAAGAUACUACAGCAAAAUCCAGCGGUCCUGAGUUCCUUGAAGGCUCUCAGAGAUAUGUUGCCACCAAUUCUGGCAAGGGUUAUUGUGUGCCUGAUUCAUGGAUGGAUGCAAGCAAAAAUCUCUGGCAGAUAAGUGACAAGCUGCCCUGUCCAGAUGAACUGAUAGCCUUUGAAAAAGCUAUCUCUAAUGACUCAGCCAUUUUCACCGAGAAGAUCGGCAGAGGUAGUGACCAGAAGGAAGUUGAGGGAAAAUAUUGCUUAAUUGCAAAAGAUGUAGUAAAGCUUAGAAAAUGUGGAAACGGGUGGCAGAGGACUGAAGAUAACGGAAGUAGUCGUGCAUGUUUUGAGGUAAGAGCCCUGAUUUGUUUUUAUCCGUCCAUUUAUGUUGGGUGCGCUUUCCUGCAGCACUUAUAUCAAUGAUCCAAUUAUAUGGACUUAAAUGCCCCUGAAUUAUUCACUUAAGUACUGCCAUUUAUGCUUUGGUGCGCUGGCUGAGCUCAUGGCUGCUAGCUGUAUGUGUAUGUAUGCAUAUUUAAAGUGCAGGGAUAGUAUUGGCAAACAGCAAAAAAUAUGCAUUCAAAAGAUCAUGACGCUAACAGUCCUGGACAGAUCAAUGGGAAAGGGUCGCCCAAGAUAAGUGGACGGUGAGGGAGUACAAUGCGACAAUUGAUUAAGAGUCUUUAUGAAUAAUCUUUAGGAAGUCCGCCCUUCUUGUAAAAGUAGUUAUCUGUUUGUAUGAUUUAAUGUGCUUCAUGCAUGUCUAUUUGAUCAAUGCUGACAGGAUGAAUACUGCUUGGUACCUGCUCUGACCCCAGGCUUUUCAUGGAUUGAGGUCUCUUAUGCCAAGCCAUACUCUUGGGGAUGUUUACAGAGAGGAGGAAAUUUAUCAUCAUCAUCACAUGCUACAGAUAAUGACCUUGGACAGAAUCCUUGUGAGGGAUCUUUUGUUUAUGUGGGUGAUCUCUUAUCAGCAGCGCGUUCUGUUAGGUUAUCCCCCUACUGGCCUCGAUGGCCACUCCUUUUCCUUGCAGAUGUCCCAUAUAUCUUGGGAAAUGGUUUAAGUAGUUUGCUUCAUGCGUCUGCGGCAUUGGCUGUAGUCAAUAGCUUACCGGUGUUUUAUCUGGAUGGGGAAGCGAUUUUGGAGGCUAGCUUAAGCUACAUAUCUCGGUUUUCCCGGAGACAGCGACACAAAAUUCUGAAAGUUUGCUGUCUUGUAUGGACAGUUUUAUCAGUUAUUACAUUCUCGAGGAUUUUUUAUUCCACUACACUAUUUUAUGUU